Triticum aestivum (bread wheat) is the source of this 1820-nucleotide long non-coding RNA. RefSeq lists it as uncharacterized. The record is from RefSeq and is a predicted model, not a curated record. The transcript has 2 exons. NCBI's taxonomy places the organism in Eukaryota, Viridiplantae, Streptophyta, Magnoliopsida, Poales, Poaceae.
GCAAGGUUUAUCCUGGAGCUUCUGUAAUUCAGUUACUCCUUUUGUUGUGCCUAAUUGUUUAAUAUGCCAUCCUCAUAAUAUCUUUUAUUUUAUUUAUUUAUUGGUGCAAAGAAGGUGUGUCAGUUUCAGAUCUACACACUCUUCCACACACAUCGACCAAGAGAAAUGUUGUCAUGGAGGAUAGAUCGUAGAAAGAAUACAUGUUUAUUUCAGCAUUAUUCAUGUACUAGCAUAGUGCUUAUGUUUAAAGAUUCAGACUCUGCAUUCGAACAUAAGGGAGAUGAUCUAAUUCAAUUUUUAUUGAAAGGAACGAGCAGCAGAUACCGUGUUGUGCUGCAGAUCUUCUCUCCAUGUUCAAUAAUCAGUCUGAUACGUAGCGAUCCGUUUGGGAAAUAUUUAUUUUGAUGUUAAUUUUUAUCAGCUCAUGCAGAUCAUUGAGGGAUUAAUUACGCCGUCAUGCACGGAUUUACAAAGGUGUCAGCGAAAGACAUGUAAUGCUGCUCCCAAAAUUCUGAACUUUUGCUGAAGCACCACCAAUGAUGGAAUUGGGGUCUGCUUUUCCCUACGGCUGCAUGUCAUGAUUCACAUUAUAAAUUAGCAAUGAUUGUAUCACUGCGUUUAGUUGCUGUAAUUAAAGCGCAUAGCAAGUGGCUUUGCUAGAUUGUGCCUGUAGCCUUGGGACAAUUAGUACCAGAUGGUGGUUCACAGUCCUUUUCACCCUUGCAAUUUGUCUUUGCCUCUGGGGAGCAGAGAUACGGUUUCUUUUCUUUGUUAUACUGAGCAGAGAUACAGUUGAAGCAUAACACAUACUCCCUCCGUUUCUAAAUAUAAGUCUUUGUAGAGAUUCCAAUACGGAUGUAUGUAGACAUACUUUAGAGUGUAAUUUCAUUCAUUUUGCUCGGUGUGUAGUCCAUAUUGGAAUCUCUGAAAAGACUUAUAUUCAGGAACGGAGAGAGUAUGAUAUUUUGAUAACUUCGGUUUCAUCUGACAGAUGGAGAGGUUCGAGUAAGUAGGAUCGCCGAGGGAAGCAGAAUUCGUGGCAUAGUCAUAUGGGAUUGUAACUAGGCGCAUCAUGUGUCGUUUUCGCAUGAGAGAAAUCUGAGUUUAGGAGAACACUUUAAUUGGUACUAUGCUGCCACUGAGAUCCUUGUAUGUCACCACACCGUAUUGCUGAUCAUUUACACUUUUAACAAUGGCAGUUCAGAAGAAAACUCUGUUCUCUAUGAAGCCAGCGAAAACAGAAAUAUAGACUAUCGUGCCCUUUUCCAAUAUGUUGAUGGUGUUACCUCUUUUAUCCUGUUAAAUAUAUGCAUGCACCUCAACUCUUAUGUGGAUGUGUUAUGGCCAUGGAAGGCAUUUUUUACUUUGAACUAUUUUUUUAGAUUCGCCAUAAGUAUCUAGCUUUUGUUUAGAUAAUACAUUUUUUUGUGAAAUUUGUUUAGACAAUACCUAUCCCUACAAGUCUACAACCUCUCAGCUCAAUGUGUAGUUGUGGCUGCUACAUUCUUUGGUGGUGGUGUUCCUGCUUGAAGACGAGUGAUAACUCAUUGCCUAUUAAACCUCGAGAAGUCGAAAUGUAAUAGUUGUAUGUUCGCGAUACACCAUGCGGGAGUCACACGCGAGGAAGAAAAUGGCGCGGCAAGGCGUGCCUGCACUUCUCUUAUCUCAAUUCCUUUAGGGAAAGAUUUGUCAUUUGAGUAAUAUUUUUUCUUUGAAGUAUGAAGGAUUGGUUAUCAUUGUAUGGAGAAAUAAAUCAAUUCCUAACCAAAGGGUUCCCAUUGUAUGAUAUUCUCCCUUCUAUGAAAUUCUUGUAAACCAAA